RNAcentral lists this ribosomal RNA (492 nucleotides) under uncultured Pseudomonadota bacterium. RNAcentral describes it as "bacterial SSU rRNA". It matches the Rfam family "Bacterial small subunit ribosomal RNA", at positions 355 to 841 of the family's 1533-position model. The record is from RNAcentral. Lineage: Bacteria; Pseudomonadati; Pseudomonadota.
UGGGGAAUUUUGGACAAUGGGCGCAAGCCUGAUCCAGCCAUGCCGCGUGCGGGAAGAAGGCCUUCGGGUUGUAAACCGCUUUUGUCAGGGAAGAAAUCUUCUGGGUUAAUACCUCGGGAGGAUGACGGUACCUGAAGAAUAAGCACCGGCUAACUACGUGCCAGCAGCCGCGGUAAUACGUAGGGUGCAAGCGUUAAUCGGAAUUACUGGGCGUAAAGCGUGCGCAGGCGGUUAUGCAAGACAGUUGUGAAAUCCCCGGGCUCAACCUGGGAACUGCAUUUGUGACUGCAUAGCUGGAGUGCGGCAGAGGGGGAUGGAAUUCCGCGUGUAGCAGUGAAAUGCGUAGAUAUGCGGAGGAACACCGAUGGCGAAGGCAAUCCCCUGGGCCUGCACUGACGCUCAUGCACGAAAGCGUGGGGAGCAAACAGGAUUAGAUACCCUGGUAGUCCACGCCCUAAACGAUGUCAACUGGUUGUUGGGAAGGUUCCUCUC